UUACCGAACCUUCAGCACUGAACUCGAUAGUCAAUAGGUUUGUUCGUUUUGACAAAAAGUGUACAAUUUUUCACAACAAGUGUACACCCAAGCGUUCGUUUUAAAAUAGUGUAGUCGUACACGGUACACGCCGUAUGUAUUAAAAAAGUGUUGUAUUAGUGUACACUUUUUUCACACCGACCGUAGACGUAGAGUAGGUGUGAUAAGUGAUUAUACAUAGUAAUUACUGUGAUACUUAAUUUUCGGUGUUGGUCGUUAUCAUAUUUAUUAUCAACUAAUUUUUAUAAUCAAUUCUACUAUCAAUAGAAAUAAAUUAUCGGUUAAUUAAUCUACACCAAAAGGCAAAAACGUUUGUUUUGAAAUACCACACCUGAUCACUCAUCACACCCCUGACCCCUUACACUUCGAUCAGACACUACUGACUACACUAAUUACUAAUUAGUAUACACUUUUUUUCAAAACAAACAAACGUAAUAGGUAGCAUGAAUCACAAAUCAAGAUUAUAUAGUGCGGAUUAGUGAUUCUAAUGUUUGUCAAUAGCAAUAUAAUCAAAUCAAUAAAAUAUAAAUUAUCUAACGAACAUCAGCUUGGAUCAUUCCUACAUACAGAUAUAUUUUUGUUAUUAAUGUGUACAGUUUAGCUGUAAGUGGCAUAGUAUUUGUAUAGUAGUUUGGUAUAGUAUUUGUGGCAGUUAAAUAACUAUCAAUGAUGCUGUCUUUAAGUAUAGAGUCAUUAAUUUCAGAGAUGGAACAGUUAUUAUACUCUGGAAAAACAGGAUGUGACAUAAAAGCACUAACAGGAGAGUCAGAACAUAGAAACAUUGAUGAUCUAUUGAGUGAAGCUGAUAAACUAAUUACUGAGACUCUUCCAUAUUUUCAAUCAAUUUCUGACGUUGACAAAAUAUCAAAUUCAACUGACAUUUCAAGUUUCGACUAUAAUAAUACAGCUCAACUUACCUCUUUAUCACAUCACAAUUCAGCAAAGAAAGAAGCUAAAAAUCAAAUAAAAGAAAUGACUGUCAGGAAUUCUAAAACAGGGGGCCUCAGUAUGAACAAGUCUAUAACAAACUGCGAGGAUGACAAUAUUUCAAUUCUUCCAUUCAACAAUGUUUUGACAUCUAAGGAUUCUGAAGUCAAUGAAACUAAAAAAACAACAUCAGUGUGUAGUGUAAUACUAAACUGUCAUAAAGGAUUAGAAAAUAUGAUUUGUGAAAAUCAAAACGGUGUUCAACAAUCCGAUCAGACCAAAGAAACGAAUUUAAAAGAAGCGUUAAAUUAUUAUAAACUUCGAUAUCAGGAACUUGAAGAAAAAUAUUUGAACCAGGAAAAAAAAAUACUUAAUUGGGAAAUUCGAUAUCAGGAUCUAAAUUACUAUUGUGAAAGGGUUCUAAAGAAAGAAAUUGAAAAAAAGUUAAAGUGUUACGAGAAUCUGUUAAAUGGAAUAAUUAGUCGCAGUUUAAAAAGAGAGACGCAAUUGUCUAUUAUUAUUAGUAAUCUAUUGGACGAAAUUGACAAUUUACAAAUGCGAUACAGAGUAAAAUUAAACGAAAGAAAUAUUCAAGUAAAGGCGUAUCUUGAUCAAAUAGAACGAAUAUUCAGUAAUGUUUAUGAAUUGAGAAGUUAUAACUUACAAAGAUAAUAAAGAAUUUAAAAUUUAAAUACCUCAAGUCAACAAGAAUGGCCAUAUUUAUUUUUCGCUAAACGGUUGGCGAAGAUAAGACAGGUCAAAGUUUUCAAGAUCAUUUGGCAGGCCUCUAAAAGAUGUACAUUAACGUAACACCGAUUCAGUUGUUUAGAAAAGAGCAAAUUCUCCUAAAGUCUCAUAUGUCCCUAAACAGUAAACAUAUAAUUUGUAAGGAUGAAUUGAAAAGAAACAUUAAAUUUAAAAACAACAGAUUUACUUACUGUUGUGGUAAUGUGCUGACAUCGGCGGUUGUAUUAGAAAACGCCAAAAAGAGAACAAAUCCGACUAUCAACGGUAAAACCCUGUAAAUAACAAAAACAAAACGUGAGUUUAACGAAUUGAAUGUCAUGUAAUAAAAAAAUUAAAUAUCAUAAACAAACGCUAUUCGACGCUUUUUUAUUUAUUUAUUACGUAUGGCUUUAUUGACAGAAAGUAGAUUUUUUAAGGCCUAGUUCGGUUGCUUUUGAGGAGCAUUUUGUCUCUGUAGACAGUUGCCUGCCUAAAGAGACGUCGAAGAGACAUAAACACGGAUCACGAGAACUUGGAAGACUUACUUUAACAUCUUGUGCUCGACGUUACCUAUUGUCCACGAAAAUGUUAAUGCGGGCUACACGUUAAGCAAGGGGUUUUAUAGGGGAUUUUUCUUGUAUAAAUAAUGUCUAUCCGAAGACUGUUUUCCGACUCGUUGGGCUGUGUUUUACUCAUCACCAAAUAAUGCGUACAUUAGAACUAUUUUUAUUUUCGAAAAUAUUCUCUUAUCUGUAUAAAACACACAAAAACAGAAUGUAACAAUAACAACAACGUGGUCUAUGGGGUGUCACAUCGGUGUGAAAUUAAUUUUUGUCGACCUAUUAUCAUGCAUUCGCCAGUUGCACUCAUUCAUUAUUUUUACUGAGCGUCGCAUUAAGAACGCAUGAAUGAAAAUCUAGGUGAUUUUCUGGGCGCUGUAGAACUUAGAUAUAAAAACGUGGUGACGUUAAGGAUACCUCUAUAAUAUGGGUUUUGGUUAAAGAAUCUUUUUUCGGUAUACUAAAUAUUUUCACCUACGCAUUUUUAGGUCAGUAAUAAAUGUAUCCAUUUUUUAAAUCUUCUACACGUUUUGAUCUAAUUUAUUGUUCAAAUUAAUUUGCUUAUACAGAUCGUAUCUAUUUAUAGCGGAAAAUAACUUGAGUGUACAUUAGUCUGGAUUACCAUAAUAUUCGUAGAAAAUAUAUUGUAUGUUUUGAUUUUUAAAUUAUAUAACAUUAUUCUAAAAAACUUUUUAAAGAUUAAAAUGUAGUAUAUUUGGCUAUUUAUAUGUGCAUAAUUAUUAUUUUUUUAAAUUAUCCGGUAUCCCAUCAUAUUAAGAGUUUACUAAGCAAAAAUCCUGUUAUGAGUUCAUAAUUUUGUGACUUACCUUUAUUAUUUGAUUUAAAAAACAAAAAUUACAGUAUAAGCGACAACUAUUCUAUCAUAAAACAAAUGUGUGUAGAAUAAGAUUUUCCAUAUGCACUUCGCUAACGGACGUGUAAAAGUGUGUUGUUCUAAGUUCUGAUUAUGAUUUUAGCUUGUGUUAGCAACACAUAUUUAUAAAACAAGAAAACAAAUGUUGGUGUGUGUUAAAUCGACUAGACAAUGUUUAUGAACGUAUGCGGUGUGAAGGUUUUUUAUUAUUAUUGUUAUGUACAUUAUGUUACUGUUACUCAAUUCAGGGCUACACUUUACUACAUGUAUAUUUGUAUUACACUGUGUGUACUAACUACUAUGUAUAAUAAAAUAGUUUUUUUUUGUGUCUGUAAGCAUGAUAACUGUUUUCCGCAGACUACACUAAAAUCUCUACAGAUCAGAAAUUGUGUGCGAUUAAUAAUUUGUGGAAGACGGAAGCCAUUUUUUGUGAAUUCAUUUUUAUUAUUUGCUGAAGACAAUUAAAUAUUGCAAAUUACUGCAAGUUUACUUGGAUGUUAUUAUUAUUAUUAUUGAAUUGUAGUGACUGGUGUUAUUGACUUUUAACAAGUCGCUGUUCUAAGAUUGAUUAUUGUUAUAAUAUUAAUAAUUAAGUAUUAAAAUCUGUAGUGACAAUUAAAAACUUGGAGAUAACUUUGACACAGGACUUAUCAUUUUCAAAUUAUAUUUAUAAUACUUUCAAUAAAGCAAUGAAAGAGUUGUUUUUUUAAUAAAAGAAAUAGUUGGGAAUUACAAAAUCAUGCUUAAAAAUACUUUACGCCACUUUUCUACUAUACAAAAUGAAUCAAUAGAUGUAGUAAUAGACAAAAGUGUGGCGCGAGUCUUCAGAGUACUUUUAUAUUUUGUAAAUAAAAAACAUAGGUAGACAUUGGUACGUCCAAUAGUUUUAUAUGUUUCUGAGAGAUUGUCCUUUAGAUAGGCAGAGGUAAGCAGAUUAGGUGUAUUUGAGAGAAAAAAUCUAAAAAGAAUAUAUGUGUCGACACCCAAACAGGAGAACGUAGAAAAGACAUUAUAGAAGCUAUUCAAAUAAGUUAUUUCAAAGUCCGGAUUUCUAAAAUAAAUUUCAAAGAGAAAACUUGUGUGAGCGGGUCAUGCGUAAAGAAAACGAGGUUCUUUAGUAAGGGCAACCAUCGAAUAAAAGAUCACCGGUAAGCGGCCUCUGGGAAGACCACGUCUACGAUGGGAAGAUUUUUUUUAAACAUGGUGUAAAACAAUUCGAACCCGAUUUGCAGUGGAGGAUAGUAGCAGUCGAUAAGGAGAAAUGGAGAGAAAUGUGUAUGGACCAAGAAGACCAAAGAAGAGAGAGAGGAAGAAAGAGCACAGGUAGUCACGGUUUUAUAGACUUUUGAAUAGUGUUAAAGUAACAUAAUGAUCAAAAGUCAAAACUAAUGAAUAUACUAUUUCAGAGAGCUAUUAGUUGGUGGACAUUCAAAAUUGUACUUAGUAACGAAGUUAUGGUUAAUUA
This is an RNA transcript of Adelges cooleyi (spruce gall adelgid), 4591 nucleotides long. RefSeq lists it as uncharacterized. Lineage: Eukaryota; Metazoa; Arthropoda; Insecta; Hemiptera; Adelgidae. The transcript is spliced from 10 exons. The record is from RefSeq and is a predicted model, not a curated record.